RNAcentral lists this long non-coding RNA (1281 nucleotides) under Homo sapiens (human). RNAcentral describes it as "non-protein coding lnc-NPAP1-5:1". The record is from RNAcentral. Lineage: Eukaryota; Metazoa; Chordata; Mammalia; Primates; Hominidae.
CAGAAUCUCAUCCAGGAUACCUCAUCACAGGCUGGAGUGCAGUGUCAUGAGCUUGGCUCACUACAGCCUCCAUCUUCUGUGCUUAAGGAUCCUUCCCUCUCAGCCUCCAGGGUAGCUGAGACUGCAGGUAUGUGCCACCAUGCUGGGCUAAUUUAUUGUUGUUGUUGUUUGUUAGUUUUUUUGGUAGAGGCAAGGUUUCACCAUGUUACCCAGGCGAGGGUCAAACUCCUGGGCUCAAGUGAUAUUUAUUUUGUUAUAGAGAUGGGGUCUUUAUGUGCUGGCCAGGCUGGUCUGGGAUUACAGGCGUGAGCCACUGUGCCUGGCCAAAAAGUGCCAUUCUCAUCAUAUCAUACCAAGUGUACAAACUGUCAACAAGAGUAGACAUUCAUUAUUGGCAGAAUGUCUACAAAUUCCUUUAAACCUUCACCAUAAACAUGUGCCUAUUCUUUUCCAAUUAUUUCAUGUGUAUUAAUGUAUUUACUUAUACAUGCAUCUUUUAUUUAUAUCAUUAUCUAAAUAUGGAUAUUUAUUUUACAAUGCAUAUGUGCUAUUUUUUUUUUUUUUUGAGACAGAGCCUUUCUGUGUUGCCCAGCCUGGAGUGCAAUGGUGCGAUCUCAGCUCAUUGCAACCUCUGCCUCCUGGGUUCAAGCGAUUCUCGUGCCUCAGCCUCUCAACUGGCUGGGAUUACAGGCAUGAGACACUACACCUGGCUAAGUUUUGUAUUUUCAGUAGAGACAGGGUUUCACCAUGUUGGCCAGUUUGGUCUCAAACUCCAUACCUCAGACGAUCCACCCUCCUUGGCCUCCCAAAGUGCUGGGAUUACAGGCAUGAGCCACCAUGCUUGGCCACUAUUUUUUUUUAAUUGCACAAAGUGUUCCAGUGUUGGCUAUUGGAAGAUUUUUAAGUUGUCUCUUGUAUCAUUUUGAAAUACCUCCAUAACUAAAGUUUAAUGUUGUGUGGUUGGUUGGUUUUGUUGUUGUUUGGCAUUUUCUUUUGUUCAGUCACUAUUAUAUGCUCCAGUCUGUGAAUUUAAUUGUGCUCCAGGGUAAUUUGGUAAUUUUAUAAUUUCUACUAAUGUUUCUAACACCAUAUGACCUAAUCCAGCACCAUAUAAAUGGAUCCACUCAUUCUCAUUUGUAUGUAAUCUAGCACUCCCUGCAAGCAAGUUGAUGUUGUUAAUUUAAUCACACUACCUGAACAAGGUAUAUUGCUAUGUAAAAAAAUAGAAGUUGAAACAGUCAAAAUACUGUGUAAUUCCAUUUAUAUGACUCUCUAGAAAAG